This is a long non-coding RNA of Rhagoletis zephyria (snowberry fruit fly), 219 nucleotides long. RefSeq lists it as uncharacterized. NCBI's taxonomy places the organism in Eukaryota, Metazoa, Arthropoda, Insecta, Diptera, Tephritidae. The record is from RefSeq and is a predicted model, not a curated record.
UUUGCCGAAGCUCUUGAACUUGAAAAUCGCGCGCCUUGUCAUAGCAGUUGCGGAAAUUGUCAGCUCAGCACAAGCCGUUUUGGUUGUCGUUUAUUCGCUCAAGUCGCCGCCCGCCGCAGUGCUUAGCAAAAUUGCAUUUCUUACUUAUUUAAUCGUGCAAAUUUCGCUUGAGCCUGGGAGUAAUUUUUGAACUGUGAAGUAUCUAUAUUUAAAAAAAAA